GGAUUGGGAUAUAUCGAUCAUGGCUUUAGGGACAUGAAUCGGUAUGUGGUCAAUUCUCACCUUCUGGUGAAUUGGGAUGCUCUCGGGUGUUUCGAUGAACCAGGACUUUUACUUUGAAAAAAUUAGAGUGUUUAAAGCGGGCAUUUUUGCUUGAAUAUAUUAGCAUGGAAUAAUAAAAUAGGACGAUGGUUCUAUUUUGUUGGUUUUAGGACCACGUA
RNAcentral lists this ribosomal RNA (218 nucleotides) under uncultured Entrophospora. RNAcentral describes it as "uncultured Claroideoglomus partial small subunit ribosomal RNA". The stretch from base 90 to 218 matches the Rfam family "Eukaryotic small subunit ribosomal RNA", at positions 733 to 862 of the family's 1831-position model. Lineage: Eukaryota; Fungi; Glomeromycota; Glomeromycetes; Entrophosporales; Entrophosporaceae. The record is from RNAcentral.